AGAGUUUGAUCCUGGCUCAGGACGAACGCUGGCGGCGUGCCUAAUACAUGCAAGUAGAGCGAAGCUAUGAGAUGGAAGCCUUCGGGUGGAAGACUGAUAGACUGAGUGGCGGACGGGUGAGUAACGCGUGGGCAACCUGCCCCAUACCGGGGGAUAGCAGUUGGAAACGACUGGUAAAACCGCAUAAGCGCACGGUAAGGCAUCUUACAGUGUGAAAAACUCCGGUGGUAUGGGAUGGGCCCGCGUCUGAUUAGCCAGUUGGUGAGGUAACGGCUCACCAAAGCGACGAUCAGUAGCCGGCCUGAGAGGGCGGACGGCCACAUUGGGACUGAGACACGGCCCAGACUCCUACGGGAGGCAGCAGUGGAGGAUAUUGCACAAUGGAGGAAACUCUGAUGCAGCGACGCCGCGUGAGUGAAGAAGUAUUUCGGUAUGUAAAGCUCUAUCAGCAGGGAAGAAAGGCUCGCAAGAGAGAUGACGGUACCUGAGUAAGAAGCUCCGGCUAAUACGUGCCAGCAGCCGCGGU
This 526-nucleotide ribosomal RNA is filed under the name unidentified oral bacterium RP55-58. RNAcentral's name for it is "bacterial SSU rRNA". It matches the Rfam family "Bacterial small subunit ribosomal RNA", at positions 8 to 521 of the family's 1533-position model. The record is from RNAcentral.